RNAcentral lists this ribosomal RNA (564 nucleotides) under Blastocystis sp. subtype 4. RNAcentral describes it as "SSU rRNA". It matches the Rfam family "Eukaryotic small subunit ribosomal RNA", at positions 30 to 598 of the family's 1831-position model. The record is from RNAcentral. Lineage: Eukaryota; Bigyra; Opalinata; Blastocystidae.
UACAUGGCUCGUCUCAAAGAUUAAGCCAUGCAUGUGUAAGUAUAAAUAUUUAACUUUGAAACUGCGAAUGGCUCAUUAUAUCAGUUAUAGUUUAUUUGUAUGAAAUGUACUACUUGGAUAACCGUAGUAAUUCUAGAGCUAAUACAUGAUAAAAUCCUCGACUUUGAAGAGGUGUAUUUAUUAGAAUGAAACCAAUAGACUUCGGUCUGUUUGUGAGUAAUAAUAACUAAUCGUAUCGCAUGCUUAGGUAGCGAUAUGUCUUUCAAGUUUCUGCCCUAUCAGCUUUGGAUGGUAGUGUAUUGGACUACCAUGGCAGUAACGGGAUAACGAAGAAUUUGGGUUCGAUUUCGGAGAGGGAGCCUGAGAGAUGGCUACCACAUCCAAGGAAGGCAGCAGGCGCGUAAAUUACCCAAUCCUGACAUAGGGAGGUAUGGACAAUAAAUCACAAUGCGGAACUAUUAGUUUUGCAAUUGGAUUGAGAACAAUGUACAAAUGUUAUCGAUAAACAAUUGGAGGGCAAGUCUGGUGCCAGCAGCCGCGGUAAUUCCAGCUCCAAUAGCGGUA